RNAcentral lists this microRNA (22 nucleotides) under Cavia porcellus (domestic guinea pig). RNAcentral describes it as "cpo-miR-655-5p". Its record names the gene cpo-miR-655-5p. Lineage: Eukaryota; Metazoa; Chordata; Mammalia; Rodentia; Caviidae. The record is from miRBase by way of RNAcentral.
AGAGGUUAUCCGUGAUAUGUUC